Molecule: transfer RNA, 68 nt
Filed under: Populicerus albostriatus
Lineage: Eukaryota; Metazoa; Arthropoda; Insecta; Hemiptera; Cicadellidae
Also listed under: 1 other name
Description: tRNA-Trp
Source: RNAcentral
AAGAUUUUAAGUUAAUUAUAAACUGUUAGCCUUCAAAGUUAAAAAUAUUUAUUUGUAGGUAAAUCUUA